Molecule: ribosomal RNA, 357 nt
Filed under: Triticum aestivum (bread wheat)
Lineage: Eukaryota; Viridiplantae; Streptophyta; Magnoliopsida; Poales; Poaceae
Description: partial small subunit ribosomal RNA
Source: RNAcentral
AUGGUGGCGCUGGUGACGGCGGUGUGGAUGGAUGAUGGUGGAUGCGGGGAAGGAGAAGAAGAUGGUGGCGCUGGUGGAUGGAUGGGAGGCGAAGGCGCACCACCACGCCGGCCUGGCCGUGGCGGCGGGCGGAGUUGGAGAAGGAUGGGUGAGGGAGAGAGAGAUAUGCCAGGCCCGAUGGGGACUGGAGCCGAUCUAGGGAUUUUGAUCCCCUCCCUGCAGAUUUUGAUGUUUGCACAUGGGCCCUCCUACUAUCUUCUUCCUUCCCAAGUAGAUCCCCUCUCUUCUAUAGUUAUCCCCUUUGGUUACUUCUUGUCGUCACACACAAGCCCUUCUCUCUUCUCGUUAGCCACAUAG